CUCUUUGGACUUUAACUGACAAUGUGAAUGAUUUGGGGAUGUGGGGAAGAGGAUUCCUGAUAUGUCUGUAUAAAGCAGAGCAUAGGAACAGGGGACUAUAGCGAGAGCUAAAAGAGCUUUAAGAGACCACAUAGUCCAAACAGUCUAUUUUACAAAUGAGGGAAUUAAGUUCCAGGGAUACAUGACUUAUUCAAGGUCACAGAUGUGGGAUUUGAACUCAAGACUUCAGACUCUGAUGCCAAAUGCUCUCUAUACCAUUCUAGUGUCUUCAAACAAGAAAGAAAUGAUGUUAGUCCUGAAUGCACAGAAGAAAUUAGGGGAUGAGAUGAAUGGUCCUAAACUAUGUAAAAACCAAAGGCAGAUCCUUGAUGGCAGACCCCAGACAAAGCUACAACCUUGGUACUCCUGCACUCUGGUGCUGUCUGAUGUCCCAAAUGGCAUUUUUCUUUGCCUAGAUUAAAGACUCUUAUUGUUGCCACUUUGGUCAUCCUCUUUAUUUCAGGUUGACAAGGGAAUUAAUAGAGAAAACAGAAACUAUUCCACAAGCAAUAUUCAACAAAAGACUGCAUCUUUACCAUCUCAUUAAAAAACCAAAAGAUCUAACAUUCUUCAUUUAUUGUUUAUUGAUUAUGAAAAGUAUUUGAUUCAAAUGAAUAAAAUGCUACCUUAUAAGCUCUUUUACCGCA
RNAcentral lists this long non-coding RNA (686 nucleotides) under Monodelphis domestica (gray short-tailed opossum). Its description in RNAcentral is "lncRNA (ENSMODG00000036056.2)". The record is from RNAcentral. Lineage: Eukaryota; Metazoa; Chordata; Mammalia; Didelphimorphia; Didelphidae.